Long non-coding RNA from Sorex araneus (European shrew), 1091 nucleotides. RefSeq lists it as uncharacterized. Lineage: Eukaryota; Metazoa; Chordata; Mammalia; Eulipotyphla; Soricidae. The transcript has 3 exons. The record is from RefSeq and is a predicted model, not a curated record.
CUAGACACCCAAAUUUCUCCAGCACUGUUUUUAGAAUAAGCUAACUACCUAAAUAUCUCAGCCCUCAAUCUCCUUAGAGUUUCAGAGUUCUCUGACUCACCCUAACGGAAAAAAAUUUUGUUUGUUUUGGGGCAACACCAGGCUGUGUUCACUAGCUAAUUCCUGGCUGUGCACUCAGAAAUUACUCUUGGUGGUGCUGAGGGACCAUAUGGAAUGCCACGGAUUGAAUUUUGAUUGGUCAUCUGCAGAGCAAACGCCUUACCAGCGGGAGUAGAGUGUUUGCCUGAACAUGGCCAACCUGGGUUGGAUUCCUCCAUCCCUCUUGGAGAGUCCCGCAAGCUACCGAGAGUAUCCCCCUACAUGGCAGAGCCUGGCAAGCUACCCAUGGCAAGCUACCCGUGGCGUAUUCAGCAUGCCAAAAACAGUAACAGCAAGUCACAAUGGAGACGUUACUGGUGCCUGCUCAAGGAAAUCUAUGAACAACGGGUCAGCAGUCCUACACUGCUAUAGUGCCAUUUCUAAGUGACUUUUAGAUCUUCAGACUCACAUGAUCUUAGUGCAUUUUCUAUUUCAUUAUACAUUGUAAAAAUAUUAAAAGUCUCUUUCAGGGGCUGGAGUGGUAGUAGAGUGGGUAGGGCUCUUGCAGUGCAUGCUGUCAAUGGUGGUUUGAUCCCUGAUACUGAGUAUGGUUCCCUGAAGAGUCAUCACUGCCUCUAGAGCAAGGCGUAAGUCGUUAAUUCUGCAAGGUGUGGCUCAGAAACAAACUAGAAACUGUCUUUCACAGAACUUCCCAAAUGACUGCUGAUUUCCCAUUCCCUAAAACCCCCAGUUUAUUGUGAUACAGUGGUAACUCACUGUCAUUUUGAUUUGCGCUUCCCUGAUAAUAACUAAUAGUGUCCAUCAUUUCAUAUAACUUGCUACUGCCUGCCUUUUUUGGUGAAAUGGCUGUUUCAUUCUCCCCAUUUUAUAGUGAGUUUUUAUUGUUAAGUUUUUCAAGUUCUUUAUAUAUUGAGUUUUAGACCUUUGCUUGAUGAAUGGUGCAUGAAUUUGUCUUUUUUCUUUCAUGGAAUGACUUUGUGUUUAAUAAAGUA